This 240-nucleotide ribosomal RNA is filed under the name uncultured bacterium. RNAcentral describes it as "partial 16S ribosomal RNA". It matches the Rfam family "Bacterial small subunit ribosomal RNA", at positions 91 to 334 of the family's 1533-position model. The record is from RNAcentral.
ACGAGUGGCGGACGGGUGAGUAAUGUCUGGGAAACUGCCUGGUGGAGGGGGAUAACUACUGGAAACGGUAGCUAAUACCGUAUAACGUCGCAAGACCAAAGAGGGGGACCUUAGGGCCUCUUGCCAUCGGAUGUGCCCAGAUGGGAUUAGCUAGUAGGUGGGGUAACGGCUCACCUAGGCGACGAUCCCUAGCUGGUCUGAGAGGAUGACCAGCCACACUGGAACUGAGACACGGUCCAG